Molecule: ribosomal RNA, 480 nt
Filed under: uncultured bacterium
Lineage: Bacteria
Description: partial 16S ribosomal RNA
Rfam family: Bacterial small subunit ribosomal RNA
Source: RNAcentral
AAUGAACGUUGGCGGCGUGGAUUAGGCAUGCAAGUCGAGCGCGAACCCCGCAAGGGGUGAAAGCGGCGAAAGGGAGAGUAACGCGUGGGUAUUUACCCUCGGGACUGGGAUAGCUGCGAGAAACUGCAGGUAAUACCAGAUGACGUCCCCGGACCAAAGGUGUGAUUCCGCCUUAGGAUAAGGCCGCGUCCUAUUAGCUAGUUGGUGAGGUAAUGGCUCACCAAGGCAAUGAUGGGUACUGGGUGUGAGAGCACGACCCAGCUCACUGGGACUGAGACACUGCCCAGACACCUACGGGUGGCUGCAGUCGAGAAUCUUCGGCAAUGGGCGCAAGCCUGACCGAGCGACGCCGCGUGUGGGAUGAAGGCCUUCGGGUUGUAAACCGCUGUCAGAGGGGAGGAAUGGGCGGAGGGUAAUCUCUUCGUUUUGACCUAUCCUCAGAGGAAGUACGGGCUAAGUUCGCGCCAGCAGCCGCGGUAA